RNAcentral lists this long non-coding RNA (616 nucleotides) under Brassica rapa (field mustard). RNAcentral's name for it is "long non-coding RNA (BRAP_LNC003223)". Lineage: Eukaryota; Viridiplantae; Streptophyta; Magnoliopsida; Brassicales; Brassicaceae. The record is from RNAcentral.
AAUCUCCUCCUCCACCAUACUACUAUCACUCACCUCCUCCACCAGUAAAAUCUCCUCCGCCACCGUACUAUUACCACUCUCCACCUCCUCCAGUGAAGUCGCCUCCACCUCCUUAUUACUACCACUCACCUCCUCCUCCGGUGAAAUCCCCACCACCACCAUAUUAUUACCACUCACCACCCCCACCCGUCAAAUCUCCUCCACCUCCAUAUUAUUACCACUCACCACCUCCUCCGGUGAAAUCUCCACCACCACCAUAUUAUUACCACUCACCUCCUCCUCCGGUGAAAUCUCCACCACCACCAUAUUACUACCAUUCACCUCCCCCUCCAGUCAAAUCUCCACCACCACCAUAUUACUACCAUUCACCUCCCCCUCCAGUGAAAUCCCCACCACCACCAUAUUACUACCAUUCACCACCUCCUCCAGUGAAAUCUCCACCACCACCAUACUACUACAACUCUCCACCACCACCAGUAAAAUCUCCCCCACCUCCCGUCUACAUCUACGCUUCUCCCCCACCUCCUACCCAUUACUAGGCUCGUCAAAUUCAACCAAGUUUCCCCAUUAUUCAAGUAAGUCCCAAGGCUCCAAUAUUCUAAGUAUGCUCCAUAUC